RNAcentral lists this small RNA (30 nucleotides) under Bombyx mori (domestic silkworm). RNAcentral describes it as "piRNA piR-bmo-1381753". The record is from RNAcentral. Lineage: Eukaryota; Metazoa; Arthropoda; Insecta; Lepidoptera; Bombycidae.
UAAUUGGUCUACAUCAGGCCCUGUGAGAGC